Molecule: ribosomal RNA, 280 nt
Filed under: uncultured bacterium
Lineage: Bacteria
Description: partial 16S ribosomal RNA
Rfam family: Bacterial small subunit ribosomal RNA
Source: RNAcentral
UGCCAGCCGCCGCGGUAAUACGUAGGGGGCGAGCGUUGUCCGGAAUCAUUGGGCGUAAAGCGCGUGUAGGCGGCUUGGCAAGUCUGGUGUGAAAUCUUGGGGCUCAACCCCAAGCGUGCACUGGAAACUGCCUCGCUAGAGUCCGGGAGAGGAGAGCGGAACUCCGAGUGUAGCGGUGAAAUGCGCAGAUAUUCGGAAGGAACACCAGUGGCGAAGGCGGCUUUCUGGACCGAUACUGACGCUGAGACGCGAAAGCGUGGGGAGCAAACAGGAUUAGAUA